RNAcentral lists this ribosomal RNA (377 nucleotides) under uncultured eukaryote. RNAcentral describes it as "partial 18S ribosomal RNA". It matches the Rfam family "Eukaryotic small subunit ribosomal RNA", at positions 592 to 976 of the family's 1831-position model. The record is from RNAcentral.
CGAUAGCGUAUAUUAAAGUUGCUGCAGUUAAAAAGCUCGUAGUUGGAUUUCGGGUGGGAAUGGCCGGUCCGCCGUUUCGGUGUGCACUUGCUACGCCCACCUUGCUGCCGGGGACGUGCUCUUGAGUUCACGCUCGGGACACGGAGUCGGCGAGGUUACUUUGAGUAAAUUAGAGUGUUCAAAGCAGGCCUACGCUCUGAAUACAUUAGCAUGGAAUAACACGAUAGGACUCUGGCCUAUCUUGUUGGUCUGUAGGACCGGAGUAAUGAUUAAGAGGGACAGUCGGGGGCAUUCGUAUUUCAUUGUCAGAGGUGAAAUUCUUGGAUUUAUGAAAGACGAACUACUGCGAAAGCAUUUGCCAAGGAUGUUUUCAUUAA